GAUGAACGCUAGCGGCAGGCCUAACACAUGCAAGUCGAGGGGUAUAGUUCUUCGGAACUAGAGACCGGCGCACGGGUGCGUAACGCGUAUGCAAUCUACCUUUUACAGGGGAAUAGCCCAGAGAAAUUUGGAUUAAUGCCCCAUAGUGUUAUAGAAUCGCAUGGUUUUAUAACUAAAGUUCCAACGGUAAAAGAUGAGCAUGCGUCCCAUUAGUUAGUUGGUAAGGUAACGGCUUACCAAGACAAUGAUGGGUAGGGGUCCUGAGAGGGAGAUCCCCCACACUGGUACUGAGACACGGACCAGACUCCUACGGGAGGCAGCAGUGAGGAAUAUUGGACAAUGGGCGCAAGCCUGAUCCAGCCAUGCCGCGUGCAGGAAGACGGUCCUAUGGAUUGUAAACUGCUUUUGUACAGGAAGAAACACUCCCUCGUGAGAGAGCUUGACGGUACUGUAAGAAUAAGGAUCGGCUAACUCCGUGCCAGCAGCCGUCGGU
Molecule: ribosomal RNA, 493 nt
Filed under: uncultured bacterium
Lineage: Bacteria
Description: bacterial SSU rRNA
Rfam family: Bacterial small subunit ribosomal RNA
Source: RNAcentral